RNAcentral lists this ribosomal RNA (299 nucleotides) under uncultured bacterium. RNAcentral's name for it is "partial 16S ribosomal RNA". It matches the Rfam family "Bacterial small subunit ribosomal RNA", at positions 28 to 319 of the family's 1533-position model. The record is from RNAcentral.
GACGAACGCUGGCGGCGCGCUUAACACAUGCAAGUCGAGCGAGAACCAAACCUUCGGGUCUGGGGACAGCGGCGAACGGGUGAGUAACACGUGGGUAAUCUGCCCUCGGUUCUGGGAUAGCCCGGGGAAACCCGGAUUAAUACCGGAUGGCCUCUCGAGCUUUCGAGCUCGUGAGAAAAGGUAGCUUCGGCCUCCGACCGAGGAUGAGCCUGCGGCCGAUUAGCUUGGUUGGCGGGGUAACGGCCCACCAAGGCGACGAUCGGUAGCUGGUCUGAGAGGACGAUCAGCCACACUGGGAC